CCUACGGGCGGCUGCAGUGGGGAAUAUUGCACAAUGGGGGAAACCCUGAUGCAGCGACGCCGCGUGAGUGAAGAAGUAUUUCGGUACGUAAAGCUCUAUCAGCAGGGAAGAAAAUGACGGUACCUGACUAAGAAGCCCCGGCUAACUACGUGCCAGCAGCCGCGGUAAUACGUAGGGGGCAAGCGUUAGCCGGAUUUACUGGGUGUAAAGGGAGCGUAGACGGCAGCGCAAGUCGGGAGUGAAAUCCCAUGGCUUAACCAUGGAACUGCUUUGGAAACUGUGCAGCUAGAGUGCAGGAGAGGUAAGCGGAAUUCCUAGUGUAGCGGUGAAAUGCGUAGAUAUUAGGAGGAACACCAGUGGCGAAGGCGGCUUACUGGACUGUAACUGACGUUGAGGCUCGAAAGCGUGGGGAGCAAACAGGAUUAGAUACCCCAGUAGUC
This 440-nucleotide ribosomal RNA is filed under the name uncultured bacterium. Its description in RNAcentral is "partial 16S ribosomal RNA". It matches the Rfam family "Bacterial small subunit ribosomal RNA", at positions 338 to 795 of the family's 1533-position model. The record is from RNAcentral.